GAUAGUUCAGUUGGUAGAACGUGAGACUCUUAAUCUCAGGGUCGUUGGUUGGUGCCCCACUGCA
Molecule: non-coding RNA, 64 nt
Organism: Podarcis lilfordi (Lilford's wall lizard)
Lineage: Eukaryota; Metazoa; Chordata; Lepidosauria; Squamata; Lacertidae
Source: the annotation of a GenBank genome assembly